Molecule: ribosomal RNA, 523 nt
Filed under: uncultured bacterium
Lineage: Bacteria
Description: bacterial SSU rRNA
Rfam family: Bacterial small subunit ribosomal RNA
Source: RNAcentral
UGGGGAAUUUUGCGCAAUGGGCGAAAGCCUGACGCAGCGACGCCGCGUGGAGGAUGAAGGUCUUCGGAUUGUAAACUCCUUUUGUAGGGAAAGAUAAUGACGGUACCCUGCGAAUAAGCCACGGCUAACUCUGUGCCAGCAGCCGCGGUAAGACAGAGGUGGCAAGCGUUGUUCGGAAUUACUGGGCUUAAAGGGCGCGUAGGUGUCCUGGCAAGUCAGAUGUGGAAUCUUUCUGCUUAACGGAAAAAUUGCAUUUGAAACUGCCGGGAUUGAGUCAGACAGGGGAUGGCGGAAUUCCUGGUGUAGCGGUGAAAUGCGUAGAUAUCAGGAGGAAGGCCUGUGGUGAAGACGGCCAUCUGGGUCUGAACUGACACUGAGGCGCGAAAGCGUGGGUAGCAAACAGGAUUAGAUACCCUGGUAGUCCACGCCCUAAACGGUGGGUACUAGGUGUGGGGCUCGCAAGGGUUCCGUGCCGAAGGGAAACCAUUAAGUACCCCGCCUGGGGAGUACGGCCGCAAGGUUG